UGCAAGUCGAGGGAGAAGCCCCUUCGGGGCAGAAACCCGGCGCACGGGUGCGUAACGCGUAUGCAACCUACCUUUCACAGGGGGAUAGCCCGAAGAAAUUUGGAUUAAUACCCCAUAAUAUUAUUGGAUGGCAUCAUUUGAUAAUUAAAAUUACGAUGGUGAAAGAUGGGCAUGCGUCCUAUUAGCUAGUUGGAGUGGUAACGGCACCCCAAGGCUCGAUAGGUAGGGGUCCUGAGAGGGAGAUCCCCCACACUGGUACUGAGACAGGGACCAGACUCCUACGGGAGGCAGCAGUGAGGAAUAUUGGUCAAUGGUCGGAAGACUGAACCAGCCAUGCCGCGUGCAGGAAGAAUGCCUUAUGGGUUGUAAACUGCUUUUAUAUGGGAAGAAUAAGGAGUACGCGUACUUUGAUGACGGUACCAAU
RNAcentral lists this ribosomal RNA (424 nucleotides) under Capnocytophaga granulosa. RNAcentral describes it as "bacterial SSU rRNA". It matches the Rfam family "Bacterial small subunit ribosomal RNA", at positions 56 to 482 of the family's 1533-position model. Lineage: Bacteria; Pseudomonadati; Bacteroidota; Flavobacteriia; Flavobacteriales; Flavobacteriaceae. The record is from RNAcentral.